AUUGAACGCUGGCGGCAGGCCUAACACAUGCAAGUCGAGCGGGGACUUCGGUCCUAGCGGCGAACGGGUGAGUAAUGCUUGGGAAUCUGCCCAGUAGUGGGGGAUAACGUCCCGAAAGGGACGCUAAUACCGCAUACGUCCUACGGGAGAAAGAGGGGGAUCUUCGGACCUCUCGCUAUUGGAUGAGCCCAAGUCGGAUUAGCUAGUUGGUAGGGUAAUGGCCUACCAAGGCGACGAUCCGUAGCUGGUCUGAGGAUGAUCAGCCACACUGGAACUGAGACACGGUCCAGACUCCUACGGGAGGCAGCAGUGGGGAAUAUUGGACAAUGGGCGAAAGCCUGAUCCAGCCAUGCCGCGUGUGUGAAGAAGGCCUUCGGGUUGUAAAGCACUUUAAGCGGGGAGGAAGGUUCGCGGCCUAAUACGUCGCGGAAUUGACGUUACCCGCAGAAUAAGCACCGGCUAACUCUGUG
This 470-nucleotide ribosomal RNA is filed under the name uncultured bacterium. RNAcentral describes it as "partial 16S ribosomal RNA". It matches the Rfam family "Bacterial small subunit ribosomal RNA", at positions 30 to 507 of the family's 1533-position model. The record is from RNAcentral.